UUCAUUUAUUUUUUUCCAGAAAACAUUAAAUCAAAUUUAGAUAAUGAGUUUCGUGAUAAGUUUUGAUGGAUGAUUACGAAUCCCAUUCAUAAAAACGCAGAAAGGCUUAACUGAUGUUUGUUUUUCUUAUUGUUUCCAUUAAAUGGUACUUAAAAUAGAUAUAUAUAAUUCUUCGCACAUUAGUGGUUGAAGUUUUGUUUUAAAAAGCUACGAUUAAACCCGCCAUUGCAAACUUUAUUUUUAUACUAAACAUUCCUGGAAGAUAUUGGGUAUAUGGGAUGUGGUUGCAGAAGUAUUGCAUCAGACAAGUCUGAAGACGGCUAUGUCUUCAAUGAAACCGCUGCGAUUAAACCCUGGGAAGAUGAAACUAUCUGCAAAAUCUUAUCUUGAGAACUAGAAGGAACUGAUUAUUUUUGCAUUGACCCAUUACAUUGCUGUUGAAAUAGGUAAAAGUGAAAGAAAAUGAUGAGAAAGAAGUCUAUAAAUAUAUAAUAUAUGUAAUAUUUUUUUAUUUCAAGACUCAAUGAACGUUGAAAAUGGGUAAAAUCUUCAUUUGUUGAGUUUUU
Molecule: long non-coding RNA, 566 nt
Organism: Parasteatoda tepidariorum (common house spider)
Lineage: Eukaryota; Metazoa; Arthropoda; Arachnida; Araneae; Theridiidae
Source: RefSeq, a predicted model, not a curated record